UCCUAAUAAUAUCUCCUCUACUUCCAAUACCACCGAUUCGACGUUUUGGAUUAAUUCUCAUUAAAAGUUUCAUAAAUUCUCAACUAACAGAACAAAAAAGAAAAAAAAACAAGUAACACCCAUUAAUCAAUCUACUAUACACCUUCCUCUGCAUCACUCCCGUGGCCUAUCCCUCGACUAACAACCGCAUCCAGCUUCGGCAUGAUCAAACAACCAUAGAACCUGCAUUCUGCUAAGCAUCUCCUUCUUCUAUCACCUUUGAUCUCGACGAUGCUGUAUCUGUAAAACAUUAAACGGGGCACAGUUACAAAUCUGAAUGCAUAAUGAGUUCAAGUUUGUGUGCGACAGUAAAUAAUGAGUCACGUAUGCAUAGGUUAUAAAUCAAUUCUUUUUUAGCUUUCAAUCUCGUGUAGUUCAUUAGUUUUUGUUUCUUCCUGUUGGUUAGGUAUGUUAAUACAUUGAGGAACAUACAACAAUCAUACAACCAGUAUUAUGUCUUUGGCCUUUUCACAAUAGAUGAUGAUAUCGAAUUCCCACCUCAUAUCGUGUGUCUAUUCAACUGGUACACUACCACGGAUAUUUAUUUAAUAGACACUCAAGACAAUUACCUCCAUAUGACGCCCAGGAGAGACGGUGACAGGUUCUGGAUUAAGGCAGCUGACUUAGGGAGGAUAUGAUGCAUGUAUAGAUGAUCUUCUUUGCUUAGUGUGGAACUGAGGUAUGUUGCUUAGGGUGUCUUCUACAUGAUUAUGAGGGACAUUAAUCGAAAAGAGGAACCUCCAUGUGUCGUUGACGAACUCUAUGCCUCCAAGGUGUUGCCCGAACAUAUCAUACGUAGCCUAGCGUCGCGGUGCGGAGCAUACUUCAACAAAGAAGCCCAACUAAGAGUAUUCCAAUUGUUAUGCCUAAAUUUUUGAACUUUACUACAGUGUGAAAUAGCGGCAACAAGGUGGGGGCUGACGCAGGUCCUAGUAAGCGGCAGCGACCCACUACCUCCCCUGACUCGUCCGUCAACCAGGGAUCAUCCUAGCAGACACCUUCAGAUCUUUAAAAGUUCCUACGUAAUGUAAUUAUGGUUUAAUGUUUUUAUGAAUGUAUUUUAUUUAGUUUAUGAUGUGCUUUGAGAAACAUUUGGUGAAUGUUUGUAUUAAUUUGAACACAUUAACGACACAAGU
This is a non-coding RNA of Arachis ipaensis, 1175 nucleotides long. The record is from RefSeq and is a predicted model, not a curated record. Lineage: Eukaryota; Viridiplantae; Streptophyta; Magnoliopsida; Fabales; Fabaceae.